CCAAAAGGGGGAAGUUGUUCUUGUCCAAGAGCCAAAAAUGAGAAUGAAUGAGUGUAUGGGACAUUUUUGGUCCUUUGGGUACUAAAACCUAGGUCCCAAGAUCAAUCCCUAAAAUGGGCUUCUACAAAAUUAACCAAAAAUAGGCCUAAAACUAAUUAGGGCGAUGUUCCCUCCACCUCCCCAUUUCCAUCCUUCACCUCCCCAUUUUUUUUAUACUUUUCUUUAAUUACAACAAUAACCUUUUAUUAUUUUUUUCUUUUACUUUUUUAACCUUGUAAAACCCUAACUACCCUAACUUUUUACUUUCUACUUACUUUCACAUACUUCCAUAGAGCACCACCUCCCCUUCUCGAUUUCUCAUCCUACACUCCAAAUUCCUAUGCUCAAAGUUCCAACUCUCCCCUCGUCCUCUUUUCCUUUGUGUGUGCGGCGGGUGGCGGUGAGGCGGGUCUUUGCGGCGCGGUGGUUGUUGGUUCGGUUCGUUUCUGCUUGUGGGUGGGUGUGGCGUUGCGGCUAGU
This 518-nucleotide long non-coding RNA is filed under the name Vigna radiata. RNAcentral describes it as "long non-coding RNA (VRAD_LNC015383)". The record is from RNAcentral. Lineage: Eukaryota; Viridiplantae; Streptophyta; Magnoliopsida; Fabales; Fabaceae.